Long non-coding RNA from Drosophila montana, 1155 nucleotides. RefSeq lists it as uncharacterized. NCBI's taxonomy places the organism in Eukaryota, Metazoa, Arthropoda, Insecta, Diptera, Drosophilidae. The transcript is spliced from 4 exons. The record is from RefSeq and is a predicted model, not a curated record.
AGCUUAGUACUGUUACCAAUUAAAUUUAUUUUACACAAUUUUCAAUCACAGUUACAUACUACAAAUUUGUUACUUUACACUAACCAAAUCUUAGCAAUCGUUUUCUACACAAUAUUACCCAGGCCACGGGUAUAGGUAGGAUUCUCGAACGCCACAUUGCCAUUACCGCCCGCCUUGCCAUGAUGGGAGCGAUGACGACGAUAGAAGACAAUGGCGGCUGCCGCUAAGAGGAUGGCCAAAAUGCUUGCCACAAUGCCGCUGAUUGUGCCAACGGCGCUGGAAUAGCUGCUGGUGGCCGAGGUGACUUGCUGUUCGCCCAGGGUGAAUCUAAUCGGAUCGCACACAGUCGAGUUGAUUCGAAAGUUCACCCACCGUAUGUAUUGCCAGCCUUUACCACCAGCUCGUACAGCACGUCCUUCUUCAGCCCAUUAAUGCUUAUUGUUGUGUCCUUUACGUCGAUGCGUUGAAUUUCCACAGCGCCAGCUAUUCUGUUGUUGUUGCUGUUGUUAUUGCUGUUGCCCAUACUUGUUGCAUUAUUCAUGGAGGCGAGUGUAUCCAGGGCAGGCUCCAUCGAAGAUUCGUUUGGCUGCGCCGCCGACAAUGGCGGCAGCAAGGCGGCCUCAUGUUUUCAGACCGUGUGCAUGGCGCCAUAUUAUGAGUGGUAAUAUUGUUGCAGGCGCAAAACUUGUCUGGAAUUUUAAUAAAUUUAAUGCGGACUGGCAUCUGGACCAACCCACCGCCCAACGCCCACUGCUGACUAUCCACCAUCCACCAGCUAGCAGCUAGCAGCCUCCAUCUGCUAUCCGCUGUGCACAAGAACCGAUCCGAGCUUGUGUGCGCAACCUUUGACGUUGACUAAGUGUAUUAAAGUGAGAUAAAAAUCUCAGCUUUAAUGGAUUUUGCGGUCUAUUAGUGCAGUCAGCAGCAGCAGCAGCGGGCACGCACGGACUGGUGGCGACUUCUGGCAUACAGAAUCGGCACAGGAGGGUAAUGAAUGUAUUGGCUUGUGAGGAAAAUGGAUGAGUUCAGUUCCGGCAAAGCAAUGAAAAUGUGUGUGUGGGCCGGACAUAGUUAAGAGAUUAAAUUUGAUAGGUCGGAAUGAAAUGAAAUGAAUUGAAUUGAAGAAACUUUGCCAGCUGGCCACUUACUUAAUGU